This 221-nucleotide long non-coding RNA is filed under the name Panax ginseng (ginseng). RNAcentral describes it as "long non-coding RNA (PGIN_LNC008472)". The record is from RNAcentral. Lineage: Eukaryota; Viridiplantae; Streptophyta; Magnoliopsida; Apiales; Araliaceae.
UAUCUUAGUCAUAAUAUUCUUUACUGGGCUAGUUGAGCUCACCCUUUUCUUUUUUGUUUUAUUUUUCUUCUCAGGAGACGAGAAUGUAGCGAGUACUAGUCGGGGUAUGGAAUGAAGGUCUUAGAAAGUUGUUUUAGUAGUCCUCACUAUUUUUGUAAAAUAAUAUAUCAAUAAUUGUAAUGAGGACUUAUUUAAGUGUUGAUAUUGUCUAGAAGACAAUA